This 441-nucleotide ribosomal RNA is filed under the name uncultured bacterium. Its description in RNAcentral is "partial 16S ribosomal RNA". It matches the Rfam family "Bacterial small subunit ribosomal RNA", at positions 338 to 795 of the family's 1533-position model. The record is from RNAcentral.
CCUACGGGAGGCAGCAGUGGGGGAUAUUGCACAAUGGGGGGAACCCUGAUGCAGCGACGCCGCGUGGGUGAAGAAGUGCUUCGGCAUGUAAAGCCCUUUCAGCGGGGAAGAAGCAAGACGGUACCUUACUAAGAAGCCCCGGCUAACUACGUGCCAGCAGCCGCGGUAAAACGGAGGGGGCGAGCGUCAUCCGGAUGCACUGGGUGUAAAGGGCGCGUAGUCGGCCAGGCAAGUCAGGGGUGAAAGCCCGGGGCCCAACCCCGGGACUGCCCUUGGAACUGCAUGGCUGGAGUGUGGGAGGGGGAGGCGGAAUGCCUGGUGUAGCGGUGAAAUGCGUAGAGAUCAGGAGGAAGACCGGUGGCGAAGGCGGCCUGCUGGACCGAGACUGACGUUGAGGCGCGAAAGCGUGGGGAGCGAACAGGAUUAGAUACCCCAGUAGUC